AGUGUAGGCGGCUAUUUAAGUCGGAUGUGAAAGCCCCGGGCUCAACCUGGGAAUUGCAUUCGAAACUGGGUAGCUAGAGUUUGGUAGAGGUAAGUGGAAUUCCAGGUGUAGCGGUGAAAUGCGUAGAUAUCUGGAGGAACAUCAGUGGCGAAGGCGGCUUACUGGACCAAAACUGACGCUGAGGCUCGAAAGCGUGGGGAGCAACCAGGAUUAGAUACCCUGGUAGUCC
This 229-nucleotide ribosomal RNA is filed under the name uncultured bacterium. Its description in RNAcentral is "partial 16S ribosomal RNA". It matches the Rfam family "Bacterial small subunit ribosomal RNA", at positions 568 to 796 of the family's 1533-position model. The record is from RNAcentral.